Molecule: transfer RNA, 73 nt
Filed under: Pharus latifolius
Lineage: Eukaryota; Viridiplantae; Streptophyta; Magnoliopsida; Poales; Poaceae
Description: tRNA-Met
Source: RNAcentral
AGCGGAGUAGAGCAUUUUGGCAGCUCAUGAGGCUCAUAACCUUGAGGUCACAUAGUUCCAUUCCCAUCUUCGC